Bactrocera neohumeralis is the source of this 1279-nucleotide long non-coding RNA. RefSeq lists it as uncharacterized. The transcript has 3 exons. The record is from RefSeq and is a predicted model, not a curated record. Lineage: Eukaryota; Metazoa; Arthropoda; Insecta; Diptera; Tephritidae.
AUUUGACAAUAACUCAGCGAUCACUCAGCGCGGCUGGCAGUCAGUCUCGUGUACGCGAUUCAAGUCGAAGGCAGCUUAGUUUGCGCUUUAGUUUAUUGUUUCUUUUGCUUUGUUGACAUUUGUGUCGGGUGCGGGGAAUAAUUCGAUGUGAAAGUAAAUUUUUUUGUUCGAAGUUUUCGAUUGUUUUUGUGAGCAUUUGCGAAAAUGAUUAUUUUUUGAACGAUUUUAGACGUUUAGUACAUUGAUUACUCGCCGAAAACUUUGGCUAAUCUGAACGCCUAAGCGGUUGCUGCAAAUCGAAAGUAUUUUGUUUUUAUCGUCGUUGUUCUUGUUUAUUGAGGAAUUUAGACGCGCGUCAAAGCAAAAAUAAUAAUUUCCGUAACAAAUCGCGUUGUUGUAGUUCGUGUGUGCCGAAUUUAACGUUGUAUGUUUGUGAAUUUGUGAAAAAUUCGGUGUAAUUAGUUGUUGUAAUCGGUAAACUAUAUACAUACCAGCAUAUAGACAUAUCUAUGAAUAUCACCAGCGCUGCCACUGAGAGAUACGUAAAGUGGUGAAUCGAACACUCCAAAUAGGCGAGCAGUGAAUCCAUACUUAGUUUCAGCGUCAUUAAUGCAUUUUUUCUAGCAAAGCUGAUAAUAUAACAUUAGAACCGAGAAACCUUAAACCCAAAACGUCAAAAUUUAUUAAAAUAAAAAGAAAUCAUAGCAACACAACUCGCUAAUCUAAGCGAGCGACUGUGCGCGUUACUGCCAAUCACGUCGACGCAACACGUAGUAGUCAUUAGUGUGUGAAACUCGAGUAGCAGCCACAGGAUACCAGACAGCAGACGAGACAGCUGAAAGUAGUUGGAAGGCGUUUUCUGUGCCGCUGGUUGUUGUUGUUCGACAAUCGAAUCACAGCCAGACAGCAGCGAAGCGCUUGCACGCGGUGUGGACGUUGUUGUUGACGUCUCUGCGUGCGGUAUUCUUCGUCGCAUAGCGCGUAGCUCACGCGCACGUGACACAGGCAAACACACAUAGGAACGGAUAGGAUCUGGUAACCGUGACGGCUGGUAGGCGGAGUGACACAUUUAUUUUUUUAGUUUGAUUGCAACGACAUGGCCUGCGUAAAUUGUGAGCUGGCCGCAAUUAUGAAAUGGCGACUAGCGGUGAUAUAUCGAUGAUCUCACCACCAUCGUCUUCCAUUUCGAACGGCCAGGAUCCAUUCGGACAAUUGCCGCCGCUGCCACCGCCACUGCGUUCAACACAAGUGCUUCAACCGCUAACGGUUUUUCCAGGUG